GAAAGUGCAUAUGUGUGACUAAUUCAACUAUGUGUAUGAUCUACUUCGAGUAUGUAUGAGCAUAAAGUAAAUAAGGCACAAGCUUUGUUAACGGGGUUCGGAUAACCUACAUCCCCGGGACCUAGUCCAGACUUCAUUAACUAGAAAAGUUCGCAACCUACAAUUGCUAUAUGGAAUCCACCAACUCUUUCCUAGAAUUACAAUGAAAGAAGACUACCACUAAUUGUCUUUUCCGACUAGUGUAGCUCUUCUACAAAACCAUCAAAAGAUCUCUCUAUCUUGUUGAUGGGGCGACGCCACACACCUUGUGUGCAUCUUCUCGAGAAUACCCUGAGGCGCGCAAGUCUUCAUGAAGCGCCCUCUUGGUAUUUAUAACAAUUUGCUCAACCCUAAAGAUUGACAAUUUUCCUAUUCCUUCACCAAAUAGGAAUUGACUAAUUUCCUUUGUUCUUUAUAGAUAAGGAAAUUUGCCUUUCACGUUCUCAUCUUGAAUGUACUAUUCAAGAUGUUCAUCCAGCUCAGCAACCGCCUCUUGGCUUGUCCAAGUCGGUCCCAAACUAAUCUUCUCCAACUCUUCAAGUAGUCACACAGCUCGGCUUCUUGUACUGCCUCCUGUACUACUUCAAGUAUUCGCACAACUCACCUUCUUGUACUACUUCCUGUAUUGACGUCAGAACUAGUACAAGCACUGCUUCAUCUUCUAUGACAAUUCUAUCCAAUCACUUCAUGUAUCAUCGUAAUAUGUUGACAUGUUAAGAUAGCUUAUAAAACUCAUUCAACACCACAUCUUCAAUCUCUCCCUUGAUGAUUGAGUUUUAUAAUCCAAGCGCCUUAUAAAACCAGUCAACACAACAUCUUCA
RNAcentral lists this long non-coding RNA (860 nucleotides) under Capsella rubella. RNAcentral's name for it is "long non-coding RNA (CRUB_LNC003192)". Lineage: Eukaryota; Viridiplantae; Streptophyta; Magnoliopsida; Brassicales; Brassicaceae. The record is from RNAcentral.